GACGAACGCUGGCGGCGUGCUUAACACAUGCAAGUCGAACGGUGACGGAGAGCUUGCUCUCCUGAUCAGUGGCGAACGGGUGAGUAACACGUGGGCAACCUGCCCCCGACUUCGGGAUAACGCUUCGAAAGAGGUGCUAAUACCGAAUACGCACGCCGUUGGCAUCCACGGUGUUGGAAAGCUUUUCGGUCUGGGAUGGGACCGCGGCCUAACAGCUUGUUGGUGAGGUAAUGGCUCACCAAGGCGACGACGGGUAGCCGGCCUGAGAGGGCGAACGGCCACACUGGGACUGAGACACGGCCCAGACUCCUACGGGAGGCAGCAGUGGGGAAUAUUGCGCAAUGGGCGAAAGCCUGACGCAGCAACGCCGCGUGGGGGAUGAAGGCCUUCGGGUUGUAAACCUCUUUCAGCAGGGAAGAAGCGAAAGUGACGGUACCUGCAGAAGAAGCACCGGCUAACUACGUGCCAGCAGCCGCCGUAA
This 481-nucleotide ribosomal RNA is filed under the name uncultured bacterium. RNAcentral describes it as "partial 16S ribosomal RNA". It matches the Rfam family "Bacterial small subunit ribosomal RNA", at positions 28 to 523 of the family's 1533-position model. The record is from RNAcentral.